GACGAACGCUGGCGGCGUGCCUAAUACAUGCAAGUAGAACGCUGAAGGAGGAGCUUGCUUCUCUGGAUGAGUUGCGAACGGGUGAGUAACGCGUAGGUAACCUGCCUGGUAGCGGGGGAUAACUAUUGGAAACGAUAGCUAAUACCGCAUAAGAGUAGAUGUUGCAUGACAUUUGCUUAAAAGUUGCAAUUGCAUCACUACCAGAUGGACCUGCGUUGUAUUAGCUAGUUGGUGGGGUAACGGCUCACCAAGGCGACGAUACAUAGCCGACCUGAGAGGGUGGUCGGCCACACUGGGACGGAGACACGGCCCAGACUCCUACGGGAGGCAGCAGUAGGGAAUCUUCGGCAAUGGACGGAAGUCUGACCGAGCAACGCCGCGUGAGUGAAGAAGGUUUUCGGAUCGUAAAGCUCUGUUGUAAGGGAAGAACGAGUGUGAGAGUGGAAAGUUCACACUGUGACGGUAUCUUACCAGAAAGGGACGGCUAACUACGUG
Molecule: ribosomal RNA, 495 nt
Filed under: uncultured bacterium
Lineage: Bacteria
Description: partial 16S ribosomal RNA
Rfam family: Bacterial small subunit ribosomal RNA
Source: RNAcentral